AGAGCGAACGCUGGCGGCAGGCUUAACACAUGCAAGUCGAGCGGGCGUAGCAAUACGUCAGCGGCAGACGGGUGAGUAACGCGUGGGAACGUACCUUUUGGUUCGGAACAACACAGGGAAACUUGUGCUAAUACCGGAUAAGCCCUUACGGGGAAAGAUUUAUCGCCAAAAGAUCGGCCCGCGUCUGAUUAGCUAGUUGGUGAGGUAACGGCUCACCAAGGCGACGAUCAGUAGCUGGUCUGAGAGGAUGAUCAGCCACAUUGGGACUGAGACACGGCCCAAACUCCUACGGGAGGCAGCAGUGGGAAUAUUGGACAAUGGGCGCAAGCCUGAUCCAGCCAUGCCGCGUGAGUGAUGAAGGCCCUAGGGUUGUAAAGCUCUUUUGUGCGGGAAGAUAAUGACGGUACCGCAAGAAUAACGCCCGGCUAACUUCGUGCCAGCAGCCGC
Molecule: ribosomal RNA, 447 nt
Filed under: uncultured bacterium
Lineage: Bacteria
Description: SSU rRNA
Rfam family: Bacterial small subunit ribosomal RNA
Source: RNAcentral